RNAcentral lists this ribosomal RNA (427 nucleotides) under uncultured bacterium. RNAcentral describes it as "partial 16S ribosomal RNA". It matches the Rfam family "Bacterial small subunit ribosomal RNA", at positions 355 to 774 of the family's 1533-position model. The record is from RNAcentral.
UGGGGAAUAUUGCACAAUGGGCGAAAGCCUGAUCCAGCCAUGCCGCGUGUGUGAAGAAGGUCUUCGGAUUGUAAAGCACUUUAAGUUGGGAGGAAGGGCAUUAACCUAAUACGUUAGUGUUUUGACGUUACCGGCAGAAUAAGCACCGGCUAACUUCGUGCCAGCAGCCGCGGUAAUACGAAGGGUGCAAGCGUUAAUCGGAAUUACUGGGCGUAAAGCGCGCGUAGGUGGUUCGUUAAGUUGGAUGUGAAAGCCCCGGGCUCAACCUGGGAACUGCAUCCAAAACUGGCGAGCUAGAGUACGGUAGAGGGUGGUGGAAUUUCCUGUGUAGCGGUGAAAUGCGUAGAUAUAGGAAGGAACACCAGUGGCGAAGGCGACCACCUGGACUGAUACUGACACUGAGGUGCGAAGGCGUGGGGAGCAAACA